GAAAUGCGAUAAGUAAUGUGAAUUGCAGAAUUCAGUGAAUCAUCGAAUCUUUGAACGCACAUUGCGCCCGUCAGCAUUCUGGCGGGCAUGCCUGUUCGAGCGUCAUUUCAACCCUCAGGACCCCCCUUUCGCGGGGAGGGACCUGGCGUUGGGGAUCGGCCCGCCCCCCGUGGCGGCGCCGUCCCCGAAAUCUAGUGGCGGUCUCGCUGCAGCCUCCCCUGCGUAGUAGUUACAACCUCGCAUCGGAGCGCGGCGCGGCCACGCCGUAAAACCCCCGACUUUCUGAACGUUGACCUCGUAUCAGGUAGGAAUACCCGCUGAACUUAAGC
This 329-nucleotide unclassified non-coding RNA is filed under the name plant metagenome. RNAcentral's name for it is "partial contains 5.8S ribosomal RNA, internal transcribed spacer 2, and large subunit ribosomal RNA". The stretch from base 1 to 105 matches the Rfam family "5.8S ribosomal RNA", at positions 50 to 154 of the family's 154-position model. The record is from RNAcentral.